CACUAACUUCUGAAUAACUUCAACUUCUGUGUGCCUUUAUUUACAUGGUAUUCACGUAUGCGUAAAAGAAGAGAUCGAAGAACGCUGAUUGGUUGAAUGAAACAUCGGUUCUUGAUCACUAACUAAUGAAUAUCAUUUCUGAUGAUCAGGUUGGUGUCCAUGCCGCCCCCAGUACAGUGCGCGAAAAAUUGAAAACAAUUAUCAGAGUACAAGAGCAUAAGAGCAGAAUAUCAUUCUUAUUACAGAAGCCGCAGAGUUGGAUGACAUAGUGUACAAUUUUAUAAUUCGAAGAGAGAGUGAGGAAGGGACGGAAAGAGGGAGGGAGGGAGGGAGGGAGGGAGGGAGGGAGGGAGGGAGGGAGGGAGGGAGGGAG
Bombus huntii is the source of this 373-nucleotide long non-coding RNA. RefSeq lists it as uncharacterized. The transcript has 3 exons. Lineage: Eukaryota; Metazoa; Arthropoda; Insecta; Hymenoptera; Apidae. The record is from RefSeq and is a predicted model, not a curated record.